GGCGCUAUGGUGUAGUGGUAGCACAUGGGAUUCUGAUUCCCAUAACCCAGGUUCGAACCCUGGUAGUGCCU
This 71-nucleotide transfer RNA is filed under the name Armillaria ostoyae. It matches the Rfam family "tRNA". Rfam says of the family: Transfer RNA (tRNA) molecules are approximately 80 nucleotides in length. The record is from RNAcentral. Lineage: Eukaryota; Fungi; Basidiomycota; Agaricomycetes; Agaricales; Physalacriaceae.